AGUCGGACAGGCUGUCGCCGCGGCCUUUGGCCGGGGAGGAAAGUCCGGGCUCCACAGGGCAGGGCGCUGGGUAACUCCCAGGGGGAGCGAUCCCCGGAAAGUGUCACAGAGAGUAGACCGCCUCCCGGAUUCGUCCGGGCGGUAAGGGUGAAAGGGUGGGGUAAGAGCCCACCGGCGGGUGCGGCAACGUAUCCGGCCAGAUAAACCCCGUCCGGAGCAAGACCAAAUAGGGAAGCGUUUGAGGCCGGCCCGGCCGAUGUUUUCGGGUAGGUUGCUUGAGGCGGCGGGAGACCGUCGCCCUAGAGGAAUGACAGCCACCCCGCAAGGGGGACAGAACCCGGCUUACCGUCCGGCUCC
RNAcentral lists this RNase P RNA (357 nucleotides) under uncultured Pseudodesulfovibrio sp. RNAcentral describes it as "Bacterial RNase P class A". It matches the Rfam family "Bacterial RNase P class A". Rfam says of the family: Ribonuclease P (RNase P) is a ubiquitous endoribonuclease, found in archaea, bacteria and eukarya as well as chloroplasts and mitochondria. Its best characterised activity is the generation of mature 5'-ends of tRNAs by cleaving the 5'-leader elements of precursor-tRNAs. Cellular RNase Ps are ribonucleoproteins. Lineage: Bacteria; Pseudomonadati; Thermodesulfobacteriota; Desulfovibrionia; Desulfovibrionales; Desulfovibrionaceae. The record is from RNAcentral.